AUUGAACGCUGGCGGCAGGCCUAACACAUGCAAGUCGAGCGGAUGAAGGGAGCUUGCUCCUGGAUUCAGCGGCGGACGGGUGAGUAAUGCCUAGGAAUCUGCCUGGUAGUGGGGGAUAACGUCCGGAAACGGGCGCUAAUACCGCAUACGUCCUGAGGGAGCAAGUGGGGGAUCUUCGGACCUCACGCUAUCAGAUGAGCCUAGGUCGGAUUAGCUAGUUGGUGGGGUAAAGGCCUACCAAGGCGACGAUCCGUAACUGGUCUGAGAGGAUGAUCAGUCACACUGGAACUGAGACAGGGUCCAGACUCCUACGGGAGGCAGCAGUGUGGAAUAUUGGACAAUGGGCGAAAGCCUGAUCCAGCCAGGCCGCGUGUGUUGAGAAGGUCUUCGGAUUGUAAAGCACUUUAAGUUGGGAGGAAGGGCAGUAAGUUAAUACCUUGCUGUUUUGACGUUACCAACAGAAUAAGCACCGGCUAACUUCGUG
This 484-nucleotide ribosomal RNA is filed under the name uncultured bacterium. RNAcentral's name for it is "partial 16S ribosomal RNA". It matches the Rfam family "Bacterial small subunit ribosomal RNA", at positions 30 to 507 of the family's 1533-position model. The record is from RNAcentral.